CCUACGGGAGGCAGCAGUGGGGAAUAUUGGGCAAUGGGCGCAAGCCUGACCCAGCAACGCCGCGUGAAGGAAGAAGGCUUUCGGGUUGUAAACUUCUUAUAGAGCGAGGAAGAAAGUGA
This 119-nucleotide ribosomal RNA is filed under the name uncultured bacterium. RNAcentral describes it as "partial 16S ribosomal RNA". It matches the Rfam family "Bacterial small subunit ribosomal RNA", at positions 338 to 457 of the family's 1533-position model. The record is from RNAcentral.